This 402-nucleotide ribosomal RNA is filed under the name uncultured bacterium. RNAcentral's name for it is "bacterial SSU rRNA". It matches the Rfam family "Bacterial small subunit ribosomal RNA", at positions 355 to 774 of the family's 1533-position model. The record is from RNAcentral.
UAGGGAAUUUUGCGCAAUGGGGGAAACCCUGACGCAGCAACACCGCGUGAAUGUUAAGCCCUUCGGGGUGUAAAGUUCUGUCAGUAGGGACGAAAUUUGACUGUACCUACAAAGGAAGCACCGGCUAACUCCGUGCCAGCAGCCGCGGUAAUACGGGGGGUGCAAGCGUUGUCCGGAAUCAUUGGGCGUAAAGCGUUCGUAGGCGGUAUAUCAAGUCUGGUGUUAAAGCCCGGGGCUCAACCCCGGGACUGCAUUGGAAACUGUGUAGCUAGAGUGUCGGAGAGGUAAGUGGAAUUCCUAGUGUAGCGGUGAAAUGCGUAGAUAUUAGGAGGAACACCAGUGGCGAAGGCGGCUUUCUGGACUGUAACUGACGCUGAGGUGCGAAAGCCAGGGGAGCGAACG